AUGUCAGGUGAAAAAAUCUCUCUUCUCUGGAAAUUCAUUUCCAUUUACUUAAAUGGUUUGACUUUGAAUUUUCAUUAUCUGCUGUUGGAAGGAGCCUGUGACAGGAGACCUGCAGAAUCUUUAAGGAAAAGGAUCUUUACCUCUGAGCCCAGUAACUCAAGCCUUCACCAGCUAUGGAAUUGCAUCUGUCUAGGAAAUAUUUGCAAACAAAAAGGUACUCCUCUGUACUUCAAUGCAGCAUUCUGUUCUUGGUACGCGGUUAAAACAGAUCACCAGUUCUGCUUUAUUUUUUUUUCCCCAAUAAACUAUGUUUAUUAUGCCAAUUCUAAUUACCAUGCAAUCUAAUGUUUUUAAGGCUUAUAUUUUCCACAUCACUGGACAUCACAAACAUGAAAGCAUUUUAUACUGUCAUUAUACAUCAAUGUUUGCACUUGGGUAUACAUAUAUACAGAAAUUAUUCACACAUCUUAACCUUGCUAUUUCCUCCUUUCAAAACAACAUAAUUUUACUGUGAAAGCAGCUUUUUAAUAAAUGGUAUAAGAAAUACAGCAAGGCACACAUUUUUAAAAACUUUUUUUCUCAUUACCACCUCAAGAAGCAUAAAAAAAAAAAAGUUGUACUUAAUUCAAUAGAAUGUCAACAGUUCCUAAUAUACAACACCAUGCAGUUGUUUCUUGAAGUGUUGCAUAGAUUAAAUUUUAAAAUUAAAUAAAUAAAAUGGUAUUUUGUUUGUUUAAUUUUUAGAUGUAUUGAUUAAGGAGAGCUAAUGACUUCUUUUUGCUGCAAUCCAACAAAAUUGUCACUUUAAACAUAAAAUAGUUUCAAUAAACUUAUGCAUUAUACACAUAAAUAUUAAAUUUGAUACAUAAAAUAGAGGAGUACUGGCAGGUACAAUUCUGAAAAGAUAAACCAGACCGAUCAUGAAAUCUGUGGAACUUCAAAACUGUAACGAACAGAACCCAGUGAUAAGUACAGGAGCAUCCAAUUUAGGAAGGGCAGAUCAUUAGAGGUAGCUUGGGAGAGGAAUCCGUGAGAAAGCAAAUGGCUUUGCUACCAUACCAGAUGAUCACUGAAAUAGAACUAGCAUAUGCAGCCUGAUCACAAAGCCAACAUGGACAAAUCACAUUUGGAAAGAAAAUUUAUCUUGGGAGUCAGUGUAAUGAAAGGCAGUGAUACAAUGGAAUUGGAGGUCAUCCCAGGGUUUACAGGAUGAACCUGCACCUGAAUUGCAGCCAAGUUUCUAAAAGGAAACAAAAAAGUAAUAGCAGGUUACAGAAAAUGCAGUUUUAUUUGCAAAACAUAGCUCUUCCAGAACAACCAUAGAUACUCAUUAAAUUAUCACAUGCCAGAGCCUUUAAUGCAGAAGCAUACAGUAGGCAAACAAUGAGUUUUAACAGCCUGAGGUACAAGGUAGUGUAAAAAUUGUUUUGAUGUAGAAAACUCAUUGAUUUUUGUAAAGACUUCGUUUCUAAAGAAACAAUGGAAGUCAUCAAAUCUGACGUUUUCCCUGGAUCCUGUCCUCAUCCUUACCUGCAAACUUACCUUUAGUGCACUCAAAGGUGCACCGAUCAAUGAAAACAUAGGGGUUUUUAAAAGGCAAACAACAAAAAGAUCUAUCCGUCACUUAGUUUAAUACUUAUGUAAACAUAUAAAAUGAGAUUUCAAGAGAGAAGGAACAGAUUGUCACAGAAGUAUUCAGUGAAUAGAACUGUCAGUGUCAUCACUGUCUUUUUAAAUUGUAAAUAGCUAUUUAGACAAUUCUAGUACCAGCAAUGAGUUAAAUUUUCAUACUAUAGAAUUAUCCAGCUUGGAGUUUAGGGUUAAACUAUUCAUCAAAGAGCACAGGCUUAUGAUGAGGAUUAUGAAGAAAUAACUGUCAGAAUACAGCUCAAAGAUUAGUGCAAAGUACAUCUUGUAGGCAUUUCCUAGGAGGCACUCCAGACAUGCAUUAUGUGCCUUCCAAAUUAAGCAGGAGUAUCUGGAUCUAUCCAGUUACCUUCUCCUUUGAUCUUAUUUGCUGUAACUAGCCCCCCCCUCCCUUCUCUCCCCCCCGCAGUUAUAGAAGAAAUAUACUUACAGGAAAAGAAUGAAAAGCUCAACAGUUUGUUUAGAAAUUAAGGAAGAACUGAUGUGAAUAAAGAGGAAGAUUAUCAAAAUGUUUCAAAAUGUUUCUAUAACUCUGGCAGGAGUUUUAUGUAUCUAUAGUAAGAAAAGUCUCACUGAUGGAUUAUGUCAGGUUUUUCAAAAAAUACGUAAUUCACAGAUAAUAAAAGAUUAUCUGUUUAUUUAAUUCUUUUAAAGAAGUCAGCUACGACAGUAAGGAGCUAAAAAGUCAGAGUAUUUUAAAUUCUAUAAAGAAACAUUGGUCUAUCCAUCUCCCUAUAAAAAUUGUAAGAAAAAAAAUAAGCAAAAAUUUAGAUUACUCUUGUAGUUCCUUUUUCUAAAAGUAAAUUAUUACAUACUAGUUAUUCUGUAAACCUCUAUAUUAUUUCUCUCCUGUAAUGUAUAAUUAACUAACAGUACUUUGCAUUUCUGUAUCAUAUUUUAUCUGUGGAUCUCAAAACACUUCUCAGUGAAUGAAUCGUGUUUCACAGGUCCCAUCAAUCAUUAUUCUCAUUAUUUUGCUGCUAACAAAACUGAGGAAGGGAAGGAAUAAGCCAUACAAAAACAUCCAUUGCUGAGCAGGAAAUAACAGCCAGGCUUCUGAGUAGCAGUCCUGGGCAUCAGCCAUAGAGCCAUCCCUCUCUCCUGGGCUUCUCUGGGUAUUUUAAGUGGUGGGACAUUCUGGCCAACAUAGCAGCACUGUCAGAUUUAUUUUUCUUAAGCCCAAACAAAAUAUUUUUUUUCCAAAUUAAGUUAAUACUUAAGUUGAAAUUACAGAUUCUGUACAAAAGGAAGGAAAUAGCUUUUGUGACUUACUUGUAAGCACUAACAGGUAACACACAGAAGUAUAUAUUUUCUAGAAAUGACUCCAGACACACCACAUAAAAAAAGAGAUCAAUGUAUUGAUCUCUACACAUAUUGAAUAUGUGACUAAGAAUUCCCAUCCCUUUGGUGAGUCAUGGGUCACAGUGACAGCAGAAGAUUGCAUGAGCUCAUAUACAGAAAGAUAGCUCCUUCAAGCUGUCCCCUACUUAAGAAACAAAAUCAGCAUAGUUUUAUGAGCACCUGUUAAAGAACUCUGUGUUGGCUUAUAUGAGAGAUGAGUCAGUGCUGACAGAUAUUUUUGAGCCUACUUAUAGAAUUGCUAUUAUUUUAACACAAUGGUCAUUUCUUGUAGCACGCUGAUAAAUAAUAGAAUUGCAACUUACAUACACUUGCAGAAAUAUUCUCCUCACCAUUUUAUUCUCCUGUACAUCCAAAGCACAUACUAAAAUAGUAUAAAACCAAACUACAUUUGAAACUAUGCUUUUUUUCAGCUUUGAAACCUUAGUAUGCUUUUAAGGUACACAUAUACUAUAGAUUAUUUUUCUCUAAGUAUUACAGCUACACAUGGAAUUACACAUUUAAAUGAGCUUACAGCACAGGUGCUACAGGAAAAAUAAUGGUGUUUGCCAUUUAUCUUUCAAAUUAAAUAAUGUGUUUUUAAAUAGUAACUUUUUUCAUAAUACACUUAUGGGAACAACAUUUAUCUGUCACAUUUUAAAAGAUGUAUUAGUAAUAAAUGUAAAUUACCUUUAGAAAAUCAGUAAUUAGCCUCAUCAAAAAAUAAACAAUCUGCCACCAAAAAGAUAAUCUUUAGCAUAGUUAAGUAUAAUAACUGUUAUUUGAAUAAGUUAACAAAUUAGGAUAGAUUGCUUCUGUAAUUCAUUCCCCAUAGCAUGAGAGAUG
Cairina moschata (Muscovy duck) is the source of this 3831-nucleotide long non-coding RNA. The record is from Ensembl. Lineage: Eukaryota; Metazoa; Chordata; Aves; Anseriformes; Anatidae.